GUGGGGAAUCUUAGACAAUGGGGGAAACCCUGAUCUAGCCAUGCCGCGUGAGCGAUGAAGGCCUUAGGGUUGUAAAGCUCUUUCAGCUGGGAAGAUAAUGACGGUACCAGCAGAAGAAGCCCCGGCUAACUCCGUGCCAGCAGCCGCGGUAAUACGGAGGGGGCUAGCGUUGUUCGGAAUUACUGGGCGUAAAGCGCACGUAGGCGGAUCAGAAAGUCAGAGGUGAAAUCCCAGGGCUCAACCUUGGAACUGCCUUUGAAACUCCUGGUCUUGAGGUCGAGAGAGGUGAGUGGAAUUCCGAGUGUAUAGGUGAAAUUCGUAGAUAUUCGGAGGAACACCAGUGGCGAAGGCGGCUCACUGGCUCGAUACUGACGCUGAGGUGCGAAAGCGUGGGGAGCAAACAGGAUUAGAAACCCUUGUAGUCC
RNAcentral lists this ribosomal RNA (425 nucleotides) under uncultured bacterium. RNAcentral describes it as "partial 16S ribosomal RNA". It matches the Rfam family "Bacterial small subunit ribosomal RNA", at positions 354 to 796 of the family's 1533-position model. The record is from RNAcentral.